Molecule: ribosomal RNA, 253 nt
Filed under: uncultured bacterium
Lineage: Bacteria
Description: partial 16S ribosomal RNA
Rfam family: Bacterial small subunit ribosomal RNA
Source: RNAcentral
GACGAACCACACAAACGUUAUUCGGAUUUACUGGGCUUAAAGGGCGCGUAGGCGGCUUGCCAAGUCCGGGGUGAAAGCCUCCAGCUUAACUGGAGAAGUGCCUUGGAUACUGGCGAGCUCGAGCGAGGUAGGGGCGGGUGGAACUUCCGGUGGAGCGGUGAAAUGCGUUGAUAUCGGAAGGAGCGCCGGUGGCGAAAGCGACCCGCUGGACCUCUUCUGACGCUGAGGCGCGAAAGCUAGGGUAGCGAACGGG